RNAcentral lists this ribosomal RNA (253 nucleotides) under uncultured bacterium. RNAcentral describes it as "partial 16S ribosomal RNA". It matches the Rfam family "Bacterial small subunit ribosomal RNA", at positions 524 to 776 of the family's 1533-position model. The record is from RNAcentral. RNAcentral also lists the same sequence under 1 other name.
UACGUAGGGUGCGAGCGUUAAUCGGAAUUACUGGGCGUAAAGCGUGCGCAGGCGGUUCUGAAAGUCAGCUGUGAAAGCCCCGGGCUUAACCUGGGAAUGGCGGUUGAAACUACAGGACUAGAAUCUGGCAGAGGGGGGUGGAAUUCCACGUGUAGCAGUGAAAUGCGUAGAGAUGUGGAGGAACACCGAUGGCGAAGGCAGCCCCCUGGGCUGAGAUUGACGCUCAGGCACGAAAGCGUGGGGAGCAAACAGG